Molecule: ribosomal RNA, 497 nt
Filed under: uncultured bacterium
Lineage: Bacteria
Description: partial 16S ribosomal RNA
Rfam family: Bacterial small subunit ribosomal RNA
Source: RNAcentral
GAUGAACGCUGGCGGCGUGCCUAAUACAUGCGAGUCGAGCGAACGGACGAGAAGCUUGCUCGUCUGAUGUUAUCGGCGGACGGGUGAGUAACACGUGGAUAACCUACCUAUCAGACUGGGAUAACUUCGCGAAACCGGAGCUAAUACCGGAUAAUAUUUUGCACCUGAUUGUUCAAGAGUUAAAGUCGGUAUUGCUUUGACUUAUAGAUUACUACGCGUUGCAUCAGUUAGUUGGUAAGGUAACGGCUUAGCAAGGCAACGAGAGAUAACCGCCCUGAAAGGGAGAUCGGCCAGCUGGGAACUGAGACACAGCCCAGACUCCGACGGUAGGAAGCAGUAGGGAAUCUUCCGCAAUGGGCGAAAGGCUGACGGAGCAACGCCGCGUGAGUGAUGAAGGACUUCGGAUGGUAAAGCGCUGUUAUUAGGGGAGAACAAAUGUGUAAGUACCUGUGCAGAUAUUGACGGUACCGAAUCAGAAAGCCCCGGCUAACUACGUG